This 102-nucleotide non-coding RNA is filed under the name Ureibacillus manganicus. Its description in RNAcentral is "Lysinibacillus manganicus Guanine sequence". It matches the Rfam family "Purine riboswitch aptamer". From Rfam's summary of the family: Riboswitches are metabolite binding domains within certain messenger RNAs that serve as precision sensors for their corresponding targets. The record is from RNAcentral. RNAcentral also lists the same sequence under 1 other name. Lineage: Bacteria; Bacillati; Bacillota; Bacilli; Caryophanales; Caryophanaceae.
ACUAAAAUUUAAUAAAACACUCAUAUAAUGGCGGGGAUAUGGCUCGCAAGUUUCUACCGACUUACCGUAAAUUAGUCGACUAUGAGAGACAAUAUAAAUAGA